This 258-nucleotide ribosomal RNA is filed under the name uncultured bacterium. RNAcentral's name for it is "partial 16S ribosomal RNA". It matches the Rfam family "Bacterial small subunit ribosomal RNA", at positions 524 to 776 of the family's 1533-position model. The record is from RNAcentral.
UACGUAGGGUGCGAGCGUUGUCCGGAAUUAUUGGGCGUAAAGGGCUCGUAGGCGGUUUGUCGCGUCGGGAGUGAAAUCCACUGGCUUAACUGGUGGCUUGCUUUCGAUACGGGCAGACUGGAGGUAUGCAGGGGGAGAACGGAAUUCCUGGUGUAGCGGUGAAAUGCGCAGAUAUCAGGAGGAACACCGGUGGCGUAAAGGCGGGUUCUCCUGGGCAUGCCCUGACGCUGAGGAGCGAAAGUGUGGGGAGCGAACAGG